This 339-nucleotide unclassified non-coding RNA is filed under the name soil metagenome. Its description in RNAcentral is "partial contains 5.8S ribosomal RNA, internal transcribed spacer 2, and large subunit ribosomal RNA". The stretch from base 1 to 120 matches the Rfam family "5.8S ribosomal RNA", at positions 35 to 154 of the family's 154-position model. The record is from RNAcentral.
GAUGAAGAACGUAGUGAAAUGCGAUAACUAAUGUGAAUUGCAGAAUUCAGUGAAUCAUCGAGACUUUGAACGCACAUUGCGCCCCCUGGUAUUCCGGGGGGCAUGCCUGUCCGAGCGUCAUUGCUGCCCUCAAGCACGGCUUGUGUGUUGGGCUCCGUCCCCCCGGGGACGGGCCCGAAAGGCAGCGGCGGCACCGAGUCCGGUCCUCGAGCGUAUGGGGCUUUGUCACCCGCUCUGUAGGCCCGGCCGGCGCCAGCCGACAACCCAUCAUCCUUUUCAGGUUGACCUCGGAUCAGGUAGGGAUACCCGCUGAACUUAAGCAUAUCAAUAAGCGGAGGA